UGGGAGAUCUUUGGUUGCAUUUAGCAUUCUCUAUGAGACUUGGUUUCAUGCUUCUAUGGUAUAAAUGAGUUCGGAAUCAUGCAUUUAAACUUGAGGUUACUUGUGACAUGAAAGAUGACAAGAUUGUCAUUUAGGAGGUAUGUGAACUAGAGAGCUAAUGUCAUAAAGCGGCAUUGAGCUCGGGACAUGUGAGAACCUAGUGAGUAGGGCCAUCGAGGGACUUGGGUUACAUGUUGGACACCAAAUUGCCUAAGUGUCAUCAAGGGGCACUAGGCAUAGCAAAUGCUAAAACUUCACAUUGUGACUUAGACUAGAUCUUCGGGAUGCUAGUUAUGAUACCAUGUUAGAGACAUGAGGAUUGGAUAUUUGAGACUUGG
Molecule: long non-coding RNA, 377 nt
Filed under: Ananas comosus (pineapple)
Lineage: Eukaryota; Viridiplantae; Streptophyta; Magnoliopsida; Poales; Bromeliaceae
Description: long non-coding RNA (ACOM_LNC002086)
Source: RNAcentral